This 154-nucleotide ribosomal RNA is filed under the name uncultured Sebacinales. Its description in RNAcentral is "5.8S ribosomal RNA". It matches the Rfam family "Eukaryotic large subunit ribosomal RNA", at positions 143 to 292 of the family's 3401-position model. Lineage: Eukaryota; Fungi; Basidiomycota; Agaricomycetes; Sebacinales. The record is from RNAcentral.
UUGUAAUCUAGAGAAGUGUUUUCUGCCUUGGACCACACAUAAAUUCCCUGGAAUGGGGUGUCAUAGAGGGUGAGAAUCCCGUUUGUGGUGUGGACUACCUUGGCUCUGUGAUACACUCUCAACGAGUCGAGUUGUUUGGGAAUGCAGCUCAAAA